AUGUAUAUUUUGAGGCCCAUUUUUUCUCUCUAUUGUUUUUCAGGUAGUAUCUCAAUGGGUAGACUGCGGAAAGUCUCUCGCAAGGAUGUUCCCCUAGUUUCUUCAGUCGAGAGCGCUGAUUCUUUGAGAGACCCUUAUGUGCCUAAUGAUUUUGCUGAUGAUGGUUCUAAUGCUAUGUCUUUGGGAGGUUGUUCUGGUGAUGAUGAAGAGUUUGAUAAAGCACUUUACAAUUUCUAUCCGAAUAAUGAAGUAAAGUACCUGAAGAGAAAAUUAUCAUCUGCUGGCAGAAGGAAUGUUGUAAGUCUUUUUUUCUCUUCCGUUAAUCAUUGGGUCAUUUGUAUGGUACCUACACUGUAA
This 357-nucleotide ribosomal RNA is filed under the name Triticum aestivum (bread wheat). RNAcentral's name for it is "partial small subunit ribosomal RNA". Lineage: Eukaryota; Viridiplantae; Streptophyta; Magnoliopsida; Poales; Poaceae. The record is from RNAcentral.